ACUUUGAAGGAUGCAAGGAGAGA
Molecule: non-coding RNA, 23 nt
Filed under: Cricetulus griseus (Chinese hamster)
Lineage: Eukaryota; Metazoa; Chordata; Mammalia; Rodentia; Cricetidae
Source: RNAcentral